This 468-nucleotide ribosomal RNA is filed under the name uncultured bacterium. Its description in RNAcentral is "partial 16S ribosomal RNA". It matches the Rfam family "Bacterial small subunit ribosomal RNA", at positions 28 to 507 of the family's 1533-position model. The record is from RNAcentral.
GACGAACGCUGGCGGCGUGCUUAACACAUGCAAGUCGAACGGAAAGGCCCUGCUUUUGUGGGGUUCUCGAGUGGCGAACGGGUGAGUAACACGUGAGUAACCUGCCCUUGACUUUGGGAUAACUUCAGGAAACUGGGGCUAAUACCGGAUAGGAGCUCCUGCUGCAUGGUGGGGGUUGGAAAGUUUCGGCGGUUGGGGAUGGACUCGCGGCUUAUCAGCUUGUUGGUGGGGUAGUGGCUUACCAAGGCUUUGACGGGUAGCCGGCCUGAGAGGGUGACCGGCCACAUUGGGACUGAGAUACGGCCCAGACUCCUACGGGAGGCAGCAGUGGGGAAUAUGGCACAAUGGGCGGAAGCCUGAUGCAGCAACGCCGCGUGCGGGAUGACGGCCUUCGGGUUGUAAACCGCUUUAGCCUGUGACGAAGCGUGAGUGACGGUAAUGGGUAAAGAAGCACCGGCUAACUACGUG